Molecule: long non-coding RNA, 724 nt
Organism: Populus trichocarpa (black cottonwood)
Lineage: Eukaryota; Viridiplantae; Streptophyta; Magnoliopsida; Malpighiales; Salicaceae
Exons: 2
Source: RefSeq, a predicted model, not a curated record
UUCACUAUGCCAUGCUCUUACCUCUACUAGCAGGCAUAAGACAUGCAUGGGUGCUUCUAUUUUAAGCCUUCAAGGACCACAGCUUGAGAGGCCCAGCAAUAAAAUAUAUCUGGCACGCAAAUGGACAUGAUUUCAUGUAUAUAUGCAGUGUUUAUUUUUACAGGAGACAAUUUAUUUGGUCUUUGUCUUAUCCACCGAGAAUUAUUCAUGUGUGUGAACAGAGCAUAAAGAAAGCUUUGGUCUCUCUUCAAGUUCAGGUGGGGCAAAUAUGGCGUGGCAAUGGCAAUCAGGCUGGAUUUCUUGGAGAAGGAAAGGCAGGUUUUCUCUUAGAUUCUCUCUUUAAUGGUCCGUCAAAUUGAUCGGUGUUCCAGUCUUGCAAUUAUUGAGACGCGGCUGUCCAGCAAAUGCUGAGGGACGAGGAUAAGCCUAUCCCCUGAAAUAAUUAACUUGAAAGAGUACGAGUCACGAGAGGGGGAGGGUUAGCUAUUUGGACACUACGAGAUAGGUGGGUGGGUCUAUUGACACAUCUUAGCCGCGGGUUCAAAAAACAAAAUGUAUUUAUUAGCCUAUUCUAUUAAAAUUACUAGGAGUAGUAGGGGGGGGUGUUUGUUCUUUUUGUUGCUGGUUAUAGAUUGUUUUUUUAUUUAUAUUUUUAAUAUGUUGAUUUUAAAUACAAAUAAAAAAAUUAAUAUAAUUUUAAUUAAAAAAUAAUUUUAUCAAAAAA